CUGCACCACGUCCUCCCCGAAAUAAGUGACCCAGCCUCCUUGCGGAGUGACCUACCCGGAAACCACGCCUUCCUGGGCUCAGCACGGGAACUGGGCCAGUGCAUAAGGGAGAGCCGCGGCACUGUGAGGGCGCAGUCAGCAGCUGGUUCCGGCUUGGAGCGUAGCUCUUCCACAACGGUGAUUUCGGGUCGCUGGCCAGGGGAGGAGUUUGAGAGUGGAAAUGGAUGGCAAAGCCGGGCUUCUCAGAUCCGUGUUCUGCUUGAGCAGAAGUCCUGGGGUUUGAUCAGCUUGAAGAGCCUUAGGCCAACUGUCUGCCUGAGCCAAUUACUAAUGAUGCGAUUGGAAGAGAACGCGCAGUGUGGCACGGAAGCAGCCCUUCUGAAACCGUGGGGACAUCAGCCAACACAGGGAAGAUGGCAUAAAGGGAUUGUGACGUCUUGAGUGUUUGAAGAUACUGGUAUGCCACUAAUCAACAAACCUUGGAGAGUCUUCUGUCGUUCAAGCUACUUGCAGCUCAGCUGUGUGGUUGGUUACCUGCAGCUGGAAGCGGCCUGGUCCGCAGGAGUGAGGGAUCGCAAGAGAGCUGGGGUGAGAACAACUGCAGAUCAACAUCGGAUAACCUCCAGGACUGAACAUCGGUGCGAGACUUUACGGAACAGGGAUCACUGGUUCCUGGCGGAAGGGAUUUGCAGCCUGACGCUUACAGUGGAGUUCCUCUGCCUGUUGAUUAACAAUGCCUUCCCUGACCGCUCUCUGUGAAAUAGUUACCACCCACCCCUAGCAAUCCCUGGUCUCCUCUGGCCUGCUUUCCCAACUCCCUCAGCCUUAAUGCCAUCCAACAUCCUGUUAAUGCUCUCGUUGAUUUAUUUACUGGCUGCUUGUUUGUUACCAUUAGACUGUAAGCUCCAUCAGGGCAGGGACCUUUCAGGUUUUUUUUUCCUGCUGUGUCGCUUGCCAAUGCCCAGUACAGUGGCCAACACACAGUAGGUGCUUGUGUAUAGUGGAGAAUGAAUGAACAGGUGCAGAGCACAGUGCAUGUCCCUAUAGUGCAUGCCAUGCCUAUCAGUUCCCAGGGCUUGCUCUUAAUAUGAUAGAGCUCCUUAAAUACAAGUUUCAAUGCAUAGGGAUGCUUUAGAGACCUCCAGGAAUGAAAACUGCCUCUCUCGGGCUCAAGCAACAGACAAAAUACAUUUAAGAAACAAGGUUCUGGAAUGCUAUAAUAUUUCCAAAGAAACAAGAUCAGAGCAAACAAAGAACAAUCAACUCAAAUCAGAAAGAAAGAGAGAGAGAGAGAGAGAGAGAGAUGCUUGACCACAGUAACCUUUUGAUGCUAUGGCAAAUUUUUGGAGUUUGCUAUAAAUUUUGUAAAAGAGACUGCAUUUGAGUAGGAAAACAAGCAAAUGACAGGAGACAAGCUGAAAGCUGGGCUUUUUGUUGUAAGAAGCAAUCCCAAGGGUUAUGCAUGGUGAUAUGGAGAGUUAGUCCAAUCUCGCAGUUGAUUGUGGGCCUGGCUUUCAAACCCCCACCAAUCGGAUCAGAGGCCCAGAGGAAGCCACUUCCUCCUUCUGAACCUCAGCUCCUGCCAGCAGGAAAGGGAGGUGGGUGACGGAAGCUGAUUUCCAAGGUCUCUUCUGCCCGUACUGUCCUAUGACUCUGCAUCUUAACAAGGAGUUUCAGUUCGUUCUCAUUAAAAAAGAGAUUCAAUGAACCAGGGCAUGAAAUCCCCUGAGUGUUCUGGAUAAUUAAAUAUUUACUAAAAUAGGCCUCAAGUUUUGUUUAACUGCAAUAAAAAAUCUUUUUUGCAUUAAUUUCCAAAAAUUAAGUAGAAAAUUGAAAAGCAUUUAACUGAAAUAACCAGAAGUUUGGCUCCAAGUUAUUUCUUAAAUGGAGUUUCUAAUAUACCAUUUUACAAACAGUAAACUUUAUCUCUCACACACAUAAUAUGAGUUUUAUGAAGUAGUACAUCACCUUGCCAUAUGACACUGUGAUCUUUUUUAAUUAGAAAAUAUUUCUUUGAGAGGCAGAGACAGAGAUGCCGAGAGAGACAGAGUUCCUGUCCAUUGGUUCACUUCCCAAAUACCUGCAAUAGCUGGGGAUGGGCCAGGCCAAAGCCAGGAGCUGGGAACUCAGUCCAGGUUUCCCCAAAUGGGAGGCGAGAACCCAUUACUGGCGUCAUCACUGUUGCCUCCCAGGAUCUACAUUAGAAGCUAGAGAAAGAAAUGGAGUCAGAUAUGGAACCCUGGCGUACAGAUACAGGAUGCCAGUCCAGCCCAAAGCUCCACAGGACGCUGCCUGCCUCUCGUGGAUCUCUGUGGGAGUCUGUGUCCAGGCUGUCAUUGUGAUAGCUGCCCUGCAGUAUGGCGCUGAGAAUGCUAUAGCCACGUUCUUGGUUUUGCCUUUGAGUUCACACCAUUCAAAAUGUCUUUUGCAUUUCUCGAGAGAUGCUCCCAGCAGCACAGGCCAGAGAGAACACUAGACUAAGUAGCACCAUUUGUGUCUUCUGCCCUGGGUUCUGUCACUACGUGGCUGUGUGACCCUGGGUAAUUUAUAAAACCUCUCUGGUCUUUAGCUACCCUCAAACAUGGGAAUGACUGCCCUAUCCACCCCAAAGGGUGGUGAGAAUCAAAAGCAAUUGAAUGGUUUGAAAACUAUAGAGUGUGAUAUAAAUAUAAAGGCAUUAUUACAAGUAGCCUUUUAGAUCUUAAGUGAAAAUCUUAAUUGUAGCUGAAAUAGAUUUAAAAAUAUCAGAUGAGGUGAGACUGGGGGUAAAUAUUUCAGGAGCUCCUACAACUAGCAUAUUUGCAUAUCAAGAUGCGGACUGUGGUGGGUGUUGUGAGUGGGUUAAGCCUCUAUUUUCAAUCCAGCUUCUUGCUAAUGUGCCUGGGAAACAGCAUGUGAUGGCCCACGUACUGGGAUCCCCGCCACCCAUGUGGGAGACCCGGAUGGAGCUCUGGGCUCCUGGCUCCCAGCUCCAGCCGGCCCAGCCCUGGCUGUUGCUGGCAUUUGAGGAGUGAACCAACAUCAAGCCCCACAAUAUUUACACCUGAUUUAUAGUGGGUAUUUUCACACAUGUCAGCAUAUGAAUCCUUACCUAAUUUAAGGUAGAACUGCAAUUCUGAAUCUUAAAAACUUUCCUUUUUGGCAGGUAAGAUAUUUGUUCACAGUCAUACAGCUCAUGAGAGAUACAAGUGUGGCUCGAUCUGAUUCCAAAUCCUUGUGCUUUGUCCUAAGCCUCAGCUUUUGCUCACUGCGUCCCUGUGGCUUGUCUAACAGCAGUAAUGAUGUCUAAUAAGGCUCUUAGGUGGAGUUGGAGUCAGGCAGUGAGGAAAUGGAUCGUACUCCUCACAGCUCUUCUCUCUGUCUACAGGCUGCAAAACGUGUGCUCCCAGAGACACGUGUAACUCUCCUUCCGACUGGAGGCAGAAAAGAAGGGACAGGCAAGAGGAAGAGGGAAGGACAAUACUGGGGUCUGCUGGGGCUGGCGCUGUGGCGUAGCCGGGAGAGCCGCUGUCUGCGGUACCAGCGUCCCAUGUGGGCACCAGUUCGAGUCCUGGAAGGCUUCACUUCCCAUCCAGCUUUCUGCUAAGGCACCUGGGAAAGCAGCAGGGGAUGGCCCAAGUGCUUGAGCCCCUGCACCCAUGUGGGAGACCCAGAAGAAGCUCCUGGCUCCUGGCUUCUGCCUGGCCCAGCCCUGGCUGUUGUGGCCAUUUGGGGAGUGAACCAGGAGAUGGAAGCCCUCUCUCUCUCUUUCUCUCUCUCUCUCUGCCUCUGUCUCUUUCUAUAAC
This is a non-coding RNA of Oryctolagus cuniculus (rabbit), 3785 nucleotides long. The record is from RefSeq and is a predicted model, not a curated record. Lineage: Eukaryota; Metazoa; Chordata; Mammalia; Lagomorpha; Leporidae.